RNAcentral lists this ribosomal RNA (788 nucleotides) under uncultured archaeon. RNAcentral's name for it is "bacterial SSU rRNA". It matches the Rfam family "Archaeal small subunit ribosomal RNA", at positions 85 to 879 of the family's 1478-position model. The record is from RNAcentral.
ACGGCUCAGUAACACGUAGCUAACCUACCCUUAAGUCAAUGAUAACCUCGGGAAACUGAGGCUAAACUUUGAUAGGAGACAUACCCUGGAAAGAUUUGUCUCUCAAACUCGCGCUUAAGGAUGGGGCUGCGGCGGAUUAGGUAGUUGGCGGGGUAAUAGCCCACCAAGCCUGUGAUCCGUAAGGGCUCUUAGCGGAGAGGCCCUGAGAGGGAAUCUGAGACACUAUUCCCAGCCCUACGGGGUGCAGCAGUUAGGAAUCAUCUGCAAUGCGCGAAAGCGUGACAGUUUGAGCCAGAGCGCUUCUCACUUGAGAAGCUUUUGCCAAAUGUAAAAAGUUUGGCGAAUAAGGACUGGGUAAGACGAGUGCCAGCCGCCGCGGUAAUACUCGCGGUCCAAGUCGCAGCCAUCUUUAUUGGGUCUAAAACAUCCGUAGCUUGCCUGGUAAGUUCCUUGUGAAAUCUUAUCUCUUGAAGAUGAGGCGCGCAAGGAGUACUGCUAGGCUAGAGACCGGCAGACGCAGGAAGUAUGUUCGAAGUAGCGGUAAAAUGCAUUAAUCUCGAACAGACUCACAACAGCGAAGGCAUCCUGCGAGGACGGUUCUGACUGUAAGGGAUGAAGGCUAGGGGCGCAAAACGGAUUAGAUACCCGUGUAGUCCUAGCAGUAAACACUGUACACUAAACAUUAGUACCUCCUCGAGAGGUAUUGGUGCUGUAGCGAAGGCGAAGAGUGUACUACCUGGGAAGUAUAGUCGCAAGGCCGAAACUUAAAGGAAUUGGCGGGGGAGCAC